CGGUCGCUUUUCUACUGAGACCAGAGGGGGCUCUUUAAAGGUCUACAAAGCGGAUAGGAGGUAUUGGGUCUAGUUCCCGUGCGGUAGUAGUAAAGUAUGCUGAGAGGACGCGUUGCUCUAGCUCCAUACCGAAGGGCUAGGGAGUGCUAAGUGUAGGCACGAGAGGAUCAACAUCCAGGCCAUAGAUUGGACGUUGAGAGCGCGCCCCCUAAUUAAACAAUCAUGGAGUCUAAAGAGAACAAAAACAAGAACUAACUAACAAGUAAACUCUGCGUUGACUAUACGUAUAUACGCGUACCUUUACUCUGACUCCUUUUAUAUACUUCCCUGCCACACUAUUCCUUAAAAUCCUUCCCCACACGAUCAAGUACCAAAACAACUACGGAGGUUCUAAAACAACAAGCAGCGGUCGAACCGGGCAAAGAACAACGAUAGACUUAAAGACACGUUCCAAUUAACAAGAAAGACGUACUGGGAAAGACAUAUUAACUGGCAUAUGGUUUGUAUAGUGAACAACGUACGAAUGAGGGUACUUAGACAAGAAACUCAUCUCUAACGUCCGUCGCUCGCGUGCUUAAGGUACUCCCCCUCACGCUCCAGAGAUCACCUUUGACGUUGGUCUGUUUAGUUUGGACCGUUACCUGAACGCUCCAACUACUGCUAAUGAUGAGGGUUCUUCGUACUCUUCCUCUAGUCGGGAUGACUUAGACGGGAGGGUUUCCUACUUUUACAGCUCGGGGAGCAGCGUAAGUCGGCAGGCGGAGGAAACGGUGGCCAAGAUCCGGGGAACUAGCGCGAGAGCGAAAAAGUCUGAAGAAGAUCACUACUUCUGUCGUUUACUCAGCGGUCCCCCGAACGAACAAACUAGCGACUCAACCAAUGAAAAGCCUCGGACCAGCACAUAUAUCAGUCUCCAACAUCUGUAGUACAACGACAUCAUCAGACCGUUCAUGAUGCUUUAGACUUAUUACAUCAUCAGAAAACACACUGUUAAAAAGUCUGACUUGUUUAAAGCUUCAGACAGCGAC
This 1028-nucleotide ribosomal RNA is filed under the name Triticum aestivum (bread wheat). Its description in RNAcentral is "partial small subunit ribosomal RNA". Lineage: Eukaryota; Viridiplantae; Streptophyta; Magnoliopsida; Poales; Poaceae. The record is from RNAcentral.